Molecule: ribosomal RNA, 253 nt
Filed under: uncultured bacterium
Lineage: Bacteria
Description: partial 16S ribosomal RNA
Rfam family: Bacterial small subunit ribosomal RNA
Source: RNAcentral
UACGUAGGUGGCAAGCGUUGUCCGGAUUUACUGGGCGUAAAGGAUGCGUAGGCGGACAUUUUAAGUCAGAUGUGAAAUACCCGAGCUUAACUUGGGUGCUGCAUUUGAAACUGGGUGUCUAGAGUGCAGGAGAGGUAAGUGGAAUUCUAGUGUAGCGGUGAAAUGCGUAGAGAUUAGGAAGAACACCAGUGGCGAAGGCGACUUACUGGACUGUAACUGACGCUGAGGCAUGAAAGCGUGGGGAGCAAACAGG